This 501-nucleotide ribosomal RNA is filed under the name uncultured bacterium. RNAcentral describes it as "partial 16S ribosomal RNA". It matches the Rfam family "Bacterial small subunit ribosomal RNA", at positions 30 to 523 of the family's 1533-position model. The record is from RNAcentral.
AUUGAACGCUGGCGGCAGGCUUAACACAUGCAAGUCGAGCGGAGAGAGGUAGCUUGCUACUGAUCUUAGCGGCGGACGGGUGAGUAAUGCUUAGGAAUCUGCCUAUUAGUGGGGGACAACAUUUCGAAAGGAAUGCUAAUACCGCAUACGUCCUACGGGAGAAAGCAGGGGAUCUUCGGACCUUGCGCUAAUAGAUGAGCCUAAGUCGGAUUAGCUAGUUGGUGGGUUAAAGGCCUACCAAGGCGACGAUCUGUAGCGGGUCUGAGAGGAUGAUCCGCCACACUAGGACUGUGGGACGGACAAGACUCCCACGGGAGGUAGCAGUGGGGAAUAUUGGAUAAUGGGGGCAAGCCUGGUCCAUGCAUGCCGCGUGUGUGAAGAAGGCCUUAUGGUUGUAAAGCACUUUAAGCGAGGAGGAGGCUACUUUAGUUAAUACCUAGAGAUAGUGGACGUUACUCGCAGAAUAAGCACCGGCUAACUCUGUGCCAGCAGCCGCCGUAA